UGUUCAGACUGGUGUCCAUCAUG
This 23-nucleotide microRNA is filed under the name Mus musculus (house mouse). RNAcentral's name for it is "Mmu-Mir-506-P23_5p* (star (passenger))". The record is from RNAcentral. Lineage: Eukaryota; Metazoa; Chordata; Mammalia; Rodentia; Muridae. RNAcentral also lists the same sequence under 1 other name.